Molecule: ribosomal RNA, 253 nt
Filed under: uncultured bacterium
Lineage: Bacteria
Description: partial 16S ribosomal RNA
Rfam family: Bacterial small subunit ribosomal RNA
Source: RNAcentral
UACGUAGGGUGCAAGCGUUGUCCAGAAUUAUUGGGCGUAAAGAGCUCGUAGGCGGUCUGUCGCGUCGGCUGUGAAAACCCGAGGCUCAACCUCGGGCCUGCAGUCGAUACGGGCAAACUAGAGUACUGCAGGGGAGACUGGAAUUCCUGGUGUAGCGGUGAAAUGCGCAGAUAUCAGGAGGAACACCGGUGGCGAAGGCGGGUCUCUGGGCAUGAUCUGACGCUGAGGAGCGAAAGUGUGGGGAGCGAACAGG